GAGUUUGAUCGUGGCUCAGAUUGAACGCUGGCGGCAUGCCUUACACAUGCAAGUCGAACGGCAGCACGGGAGCUUGCUCCUGGUGGCGAGUGGCGAACGGGUGAGUAAUGCAUCGGAACGUAUCCUGGAGUGGGGGAUAACGUAGCGAAAGUUACGCUAAUACCGCAUAUUCUGUGAGCAGGAAAGCGGGGGACCUUCGGGCCUCGCGCUCUUGGAGCGGCCGAUGUCGGAUUAGCUAGUUGGUGAGGUAAAGGCUCACCAAGGCGACGAUCCGUAGCAGGUCUGAGAGGAUGAUCUGCCACACUGGAACUGAGACACGGUCCAGACUCCUACGGGAGGCAGCAGUGGGGAAUUUUGGGACAAUGGGGGCAACCCUGAUCCAGCCAUGCCGCGUGAGUGAAGAAGGCCUCGGUG
This 414-nucleotide ribosomal RNA is filed under the name bacterium enrichment culture clone ALO1_GLFRUDD03FKROB. Its description in RNAcentral is "bacterial SSU rRNA". It matches the Rfam family "Bacterial small subunit ribosomal RNA", at positions 9 to 422 of the family's 1533-position model. The record is from RNAcentral.